AGUCAUUCCCGUCAUAGCCAAUCAGAUGCCUCAAUAAAACGUGUGGUGCCCGCUGCCCCCCACCUCAAACGUUGGAAGCGUUUGAUUGACAGAUUCACUGACUAUUCACUGCUUGCUAAAGUCGUCUGGUCCCAAAAUGCCGUAAUCAGACGAUAUCCGUACCAAGGAAAAAUGGCAACUGAACUGACUUCAUUUCAUUGGAACCCGGGAUAACAGCCUUGUUCUGUCCAUCUCUAUUCAUCUGAAAUGUAUGUAGCUACGCUUAAACGCAAGAGUUUUGAAAGCCCAAAAUGUGCAUUUGCACGCAUUUAUACGCUCGUUUACAUAGACUUUUCAUUAGAAGUUGCUGCUUUAAUGUCCAUUGCCAAAAGCAGUGUGAUCUUAACUAAAAUGGGGUAAACCAGUCAGGAAAUGAGUGUUUUCCAUUUUACAAAAACAAAAAAAUGAUCCCACAAUAAAAAAAAUAACAAAACCAAAUGACAAGUCAAACCAAAAAUAGAAAAUGCCUGAUCUCUCUGUUUCCGCCCACUCAUGAAAAGAACAUUUUUCAUAACAAAUAUAGAGAAUCUUUUUCCUAAAUUUACAUGCCAGAGAGGAAGAGGGAAACGUUUCUCUCACUAGGGAAUGUGUGGUUUCAAUGAAAGUUCCUAUAGUAAAAUGAUAAAUGAGCUCAGGUACUGUUUAUGUUAAAUAACAGGGCUUGUAUCAAAGAGUUUGAACGAAACCUGGAGGCCUCAACUCUUAUGCAAUCAUUGCUAAACAUCAGGAGUGGUAUGUUUUGAUGUGACUUUUGCAUUAAUUCAUUUGAGAUUUUUUUUCUGUCUGUCACCCAAGCAAGUGGAUAAAAAAAUAACAUUCAAAAUCCUCCAAAUAAACAAAAAGAUAACGUACUUUUUAAACUCCUUGUAGAAUUAGACUUUUGUAACUGUCCAAUUUUCUACCACUCAGUCGAAACCACCACCCACACAAAUUUCCACAAAGAUUCAAAUCAGGGCUUUAGGUUGGAAUGCCCAUGUGGUCAAUUUCUUGUUUUUAUGCCUUGACAGGUGGACUUCCUGUUUUGUCAGGAAGUCCAGGAUCUCUUUGCAAAAUAAUAAUUUUAUUUAAACAGAUACUCUUAUUUUGACUUUAAACUCUUAUUAUUUUUUUUUUCAUGCUGAUUUGGCAAAUAAUAUCCUGUUUUUCUUGUGUUUCACUGAAUUAAAUUGAAAGUACAUGGCCUAAAUACCAAAAGUUACCUAAUAAAAUAUAACUUGUAAGAAAAAUAAAAAAUAAAAAAUAAAAAACAACAAAAACAAAAGUAAAUAAACAAGGUCAAACGGUUUUAAUUCUUGAUAUGCUGUAUGUAAAGUAUUGAGAAACACAGCUCAGAUUCACUGCAGAUGAAAUAUGAACCAGUGUCGUGUUGACUCAAGGCUACAACCACAAACUACAGAGAUGACUGAGCAAGGCCUUCAGGAUGUGCGUCACCAUAAUUCAGACCUACAACUACACAGCUGAUGUGCAUCUAUUCCAACGCACACUGUGAAGUCUGGAAUGUCACAAGCGCACACGGACACACACCUGCUGCCUGGCGUCCUGGCAGCUUGGCUGGCAUGUGUGCGCAGGGGCGAGACUCGGUGGCGCUUGUUCCUGCACGCACAGAAAUAUCGAUGUUGUGGCUUGUUAGAUGACAUACUCAUCAGAGAGAGGACAGCUGUGUGUGUGUUUAUGUAAGUGUGUGUGUGUCACACGGUUACAUCAGUUCCAGUCUCACAAUGAGGUGUAGAAGUGUCUAAGGAUCUUCCUGGCACUGGAAUUAGAAAGUCUCUGCCCUCAGCACUUCCUUAAAUAGACACAACAAAUGUUUUUUUUUUCUUUUUUCGCCAACACCAACACUGACCUGUCAAAAUAAAAGCCUGACAGUUCUGACCUCGGCAGAACCUUUCAGGGUAUUUUUUUAUUUUAUGCUGAAUCAAAAAAACAAAACAGGAAGUUGUUUGCAAACAGAGUGACAGAGCGCCGUCCACCACGGCUUCUGAAUCUGAAGAAACAAAAUCUGCCCGUGUAAUUAUCCGCAUCAAAUGACACCUCGACACGUGAGCCUCAUGAAUAUGGAACCAGACUCCAUGAAUAUUCAGGAGAUCGGCUCAUGAAUAUUUAAACUAUGAUGGAGCAUGUGGCCAAAUGACUAGACAGCCGCAGAUAAGGAACAGACAAAUAGACUUUCUCCUCUCAACCUCAGCCAGCCGCAGCCUUUUCUCCAAGCUGCAUUCAGCCGGGCUAAAGCUGCAUCAUUUUCCCCAUUAUGUUUAUGGAAACUACAGCGCCCGAUAGGAGGAACGCAUCCCCGUUCUGUCUGUACAAAUGAAGAACGCCUGUUUGAGGGAUGCCUUUGUGGUGAAGAGGAUUUUGGCAGCAGAGCAGAUCAUUUUAACUCAAUUCUAGAUCCAGGCAAGAAAUAUAAAUUCCAAAAGUUUUAAAUUGUGUUAUUCAAGAAUUUAAUUAUUUUAAGUACUACAACAAAACAACUCUGGUCAUUUAAGUAUUGAUUAACUGAGCAUAAUAUAAGACUAAUCGCUUAAAACUUUCACAAUAAAAGUAAAAAUAAAUUCACUUUCAAAAUCUGACAUUCAAUUCCAGUGGACACUUUUUUGGGGGGAACAAUAAGCUUUUAACGGAUGCAUGGAUUAAAAGUUUUUUUUAAAGUACUAAGAUAAAUGUAGCCCAGAAUGCAAAUAUUAUUGCCUCCCAAAUAUUUACAUCUAAACUUCACAGAUGAUUGUUUAAUUUCAGGUCAAUUGCAUGUUUGCUGGACAUUUUUUGGAUCAAAAUGUCAUCAACCAACAUCCCACUAGUGAUCCUUAUCUUUUUCACAUUUUCUAAUCCACAACUACUGGCUGCAACCAACCAUUAUCAUUCCACCACCGUGCUUUACAGAUGACGGUUUUGACCCUCCCCCCCUUUUUUCACAAUUUAACAACAUUUAUUCAAGUAUCUGCACUAUAAAGAAAGAAUUCUGGGAUACAGGUGCUGGAAAUGUUCCUAACCUUUAUGUCUAAGCAGGUUAGAAGUCUAAAAAUCAAUUUAAAAUUGACCAACGAUGCAACUGCUUCAUAUCUCUUUUUGGGGCUUUUGGGGGAUCAUUUCACACAGUUUCAGAUAAUUUUAUUUUUGCUGUCAUUUGAAACAAAAAGUAAUCAUAAUCUUCAGAAAUGUUCAUGCUGUGGCUUAUUUAAUGGAGACUCUGAGCAACAAGAGAACAAAGUUCUCUGGAAAGUUUUGCCGCUUUCACAGAAAAAAAAAGUUUAAUCUUUUUCUUAAUAUACUGAAAUGUAUGUUCUCUGGAGAUAUUACGGUUUUGUAAAUGUCACCUAAAAAAAGACUUUCUCAUAAUGAUACUUAAACAGAAACUUGUGAAAAAAAAAUCCUCUUUUAAAAAGGUUAAAUCUUAAACUAGCAGAUCGUCGUCUUAGAGGAGCUAUUCUCCAUCACAACAGGAUUCACAGAUAUCGAUCUUCUCCUUGGUAGAAAGUUGUUGGUGAUGUUUAUGCAUCAUAACUGCCUCACUUCCUCCUCCCUGCACAACAGAAAGGAGGAGCUCAUCCCUUUUUGAUCAAAUAUCCCGCGGCCCAAACUGUACCUGCAUCCAGAAAAAGAAGCGAUCAAUAAAACGCAGCUGUAGCUCUCAAGGUGGAUGGUGGAUUUAGAUGUGGUGCGUCAGAGAACGGAUUUACAAAACCCUCCGCACAUAUGGGGGGUAAUCCGGGGUUCAAACGUGGGCUGGGAGUGUGAGCUCAAGAACACUAUUGGGGGGUUCUGGGAGGCUUCCCUUGCUGAUGAAUGGACUCACUGUGGAUCACCUUCCACUGAAGUCAUCUAAGAAAGAGUUGGAGGCCGGGGAACCUGCUCACAGUCUGGUGUGUCAGAGCGGAUGAGAAACGCACCUGUGAAGUGAUGGAGCUCAGCAGCGGCGCCGUGGCUGUGUGGGUUUGUGGUCUAUAACGGAUGCUUGACAGGCUGAUGAGCUCUGGCACUCACACUCUGCUUCCUCCUCUUGCCUGUCUUCUCAUCUCUCCAGGCGGUGGGCGUAAACUCCCCUCCUUCACUCUCCUCGCCCCUAAACGCCGCCUUUCCCUCCCCCUGCUCCUCCAGGCUCCGUCGAGGCGCCUUUGCUUUCCACGAUUGCAAGUUUGACGGGCCUUCAGAGGGAAAUCAAACAAUCUCUUCAAUUAGACGGCCCACACAAACGCAUGUCUGAACUUUUUCUUUUUUUUCAUCUUUCAGUCGCAGACACCUUUGUUCCCGAGCUGAAAACACGCUGUUCACACCAAAGGCGGAGAAAAACCUUCUCACUUUGAAGAACAAGAAGCAGCGACAGCCUUUUAAAGCUGAUUUGCAUUUAGAGGAGGGACUCCCUCCUCCUCCAUGCACCUCAAAUGACCCCUCAGUUUGUGUGAAAUUGUGCACAGUGGACAAUGAUGCCAGAAUAGAAGCUAAAACUGAAAAAUGUUGGGAUUAAUGAAGGAAGCACGGCGCCUCUCUGCUGUUAUGUCACUACAACCCUGAUGAUAAAACACUGUAGAAACACUUCAUCCCAAUUGCUGCCAUCAAGCAAGAAGGAGGAAAAGGUAAAGAGGAAGAGGAGAGGGGGAAGUGAGACAGAUGAAGUCCCCGGAGAGCCUCCGGACAGUCAGCAGCAGGAUGAGUCAAUACUGUAGUAAUGCUGUGGCGCACUGCAGCAUACCUGGAGGGGGCUCAGACCUGUUGAUGCAAUCAGUGGUGGAUUUCUCCAGUUUUCACUCCGCUUCCAUCUGUCUACCCUCCACUUGGCUGUCAGCCUCUCCAGUGAAUCCCGCUCCCAUCUUUCCUCCCACAGCUUUCCUUCUCAUUAUGUUUGUUGCUGGGAAUAAUAAAUAAAUAAAUAAAAUAUACGUAUUUCCAAGAGGCAAGUCCUGGACCAAAAACAAUUUACAGUAGCAUCUCGUGUUAUUUUGAAAUUUAAGGCACAAAAACAUUUAAGUUGGGAAUAUUUUUGUGGGCUGAUGGGACUUUUUACAGUUGAAAAUGACAACAAACAGGUUGACAUUUGGGACAGCUUUUCCUCCGACGGGAGUGACAAACUUUCUUUCCCGUUCGGUUUCCUCCUCCAUCCAUCUCCCAUCACCAGGAAUUCAAUCUCUCCCCUUCUUCUGGAGCUAUCUGUAUUCCUUUCCGCCCUCUAAUCUUUUUUUAUUAUUUGAUCUCUCCAUCUUCCGGCUCCAGCUAUACCUCCCGUCCCACAUUGUUGACCCAGAGGCCUCCGCGCCUGUUCUCUCAGCCGUGGGCAUCAUGACCAUAAGCUGAGUCGCAGGGGCUAUUUAUAUUUGUUCCUAAUGAGGUGAGAUUUUUCUCCGCCAUAGCAACGGUCUCUAUGGAUACCCCUGCGCUUGGAUACCAGAUCCCAUCCUGUUUUAAAUGUCUUAUUAUGGGCUGCACCCUCCCCUGUGCUGUUGUAGCCUAAUUAAUUCUGGAUCUCCGCCCCCUUUUUUUAUGCCACCAAGCAGACAACCUUUUAUCUGCAAGUUCAAACGGACAAUUAGCUGCAUGGUUGUUGAUCAAUAUUACAUCACUAAGGUGUGCAGUGUAAUAAACUCCUGCAACAAGCAGUGGAUUGAUGGGAAACUCACAGGAGGAGUGGGGGGUCACAUCCGUGACCUGCACGCGGCAUUGAUCAGGAUUGAGGCACAGACCUGGAGCUGAGCUCACACCAUUACACGACUGGGAAAGGGGGGGCACACAGGUAUUGUCAUCUCACUUCCUGCCACAAAGUGAGACAGCCGAUCAAUAACUUCUGGAGAAAGCCGCAGCGGUGCAAAAACCACCCACACAGGCACGAGGAGAAUGCACCCCCCAGAGUUUCUCCUCGCGAGACAGCUGCGUGCACAUGUACUCACACAGGUACACACUCUUGACAGGUGCAGCAUUGUUAUGGCAUGUCCAACUCUGGCAGCUUGUUUUCCCUCAGACCUGCUCGCCCCGCGCGCACUGACUCACACAUGAAGGUAGGGGGUGGGGUGGAGGGCACGUGGGAGGAGAGGAGGCUCUGACGCGGGAUCACUUUCGGCGUAAGGUUAAGUAAAUCAUAUCAUCACUGCAGCGUUAGGAGAUUGCUUUGACCUCCUGUUUGGCCGCCAAACGGAUGCACGCGCGCGCUCGGGCCUUUGUGCGCAGCAGUGACGCUCGUCUCCUUCCCAGCAUCGACGCACGCGCUCCCUCCCCGCCACCGGUGUGCUCUCCGGUGUCAGUCCCACCGGGUUCUGUCAUGCUUGAAAUUCACACAUAAUAUCAGGUGGCCUGGCUGACACAAACGUGUGUGCGCGCGCAGACACUCGGUAUGGCAAGCAAACAGCAUCAUAAAUCGCCUGGAAAGACGGCGUUAAGAACAGCGUUUUGGCCUUUUAACAUUUGACCAGCUCAGUGGCCUUGUAGUGGAAUGUCCAUCCUGAGACUGGAAGUUUGUGAGUUCAAAUCGGGGCCGAGUCAGACCAAAGACUAAUAAUGAGACCAUCCCUACUAAACACUCAGCAUUAAGGGGUUGGAUUGGGGGGUAAACCACCACGUGGUUCCAUAGUGCAGCUGUGUCUGCAGCUCACCGCUCCCCAAGGGAAAGAGCUAAAAGCAGACAACAAAUUUCCCACAACAAGGUGCGUGACAGCUAAUGGGACUUUUAUAAAAAAAAUUAGUUUUUUUACACACAUUUUAAAAUAUUGUUUUGUCCAAAGCAACAUUUAUUGCCGUUUUCAAUCCGGCCGCAAUGACUCAUCACGUUCAAGAAGUCACAUCCAAUGUAAAGUCUGUUUAAACACACCUCAGCCUGAAUUUUAGGCUUCAGCGUUCAUGUGUCGUUAUGCAAAUUUUUCAGUUCGAUCGUGGGUUCUACGUAUGAAAUUCGCGUUCAUUUUCUGAAAGUCCAAGCAGUUGAACUUUUUGAUGCUAAAUCGUGACAACACUGAGCUUUGACCAAUCAGGGACUCAGAUUAAGUAGUGACUUGUGGGUUGUGUUCUACGGUGGACGAGAACCACCAUUGCAGCAAAAAAAAAAA
This is a long non-coding RNA of Oryzias melastigma (Indian medaka), 7064 nucleotides long. RefSeq lists it as uncharacterized. The transcript is spliced from 2 exons. NCBI's taxonomy places the organism in Eukaryota, Metazoa, Chordata, Actinopteri, Beloniformes, Adrianichthyidae. The record is from RefSeq and is a predicted model, not a curated record.